UCCAGGAAGAGGAAGAAUGACAGGAUUCAAGAGUAGUAUAAAUGGGAACAUUGAGACAAAACAUGAGCUUUCUAGAUUUCCUCUCCUAACGAAGAAGAGAUCUAGUUUCUUGUUUUUCCAAUGUCUCACAUUCUAUUGUUCUUGGCUGCUCCUUCCCCUUCCUUUUGGCU
Molecule: microRNA precursor, 170 nt
Filed under: Hordeum vulgare subsp. vulgare (domesticated barley)
Lineage: Eukaryota; Viridiplantae; Streptophyta; Magnoliopsida; Poales; Poaceae
Description: MIR2118 microRNA precursor family
Rfam family: MIR2118 microRNA precursor family
Source: Rfam by way of RNAcentral